RNAcentral lists this unclassified non-coding RNA (186 nucleotides) under Glomeraceae sp. RNAcentral describes it as "partial contains 5.8S ribosomal RNA and internal transcribed spacer 2". The stretch from base 1 to 71 matches the Rfam family "5.8S ribosomal RNA", at positions 84 to 154 of the family's 154-position model. Lineage: Eukaryota; Fungi; Glomeromycota; Glomeromycetes; Glomerales; Glomeraceae. The record is from RNAcentral.
GUGAAUCAUCGAAUUUUUGAACGCAAAUUGCACUCCCAGGUAUUCCGGGGAGUAUGCCUGUUUGAGGGUCGUUAGAACAAAAAUCGAGGCGUCGCUCUUUUUUUUUAAGGGUGAUCGCGUCGGAAUUGAGCCGUCUUUCAAAUGUAAAUUCAUGUAAAAUUGGUUUAAAUUUAAUCAACCCGUUCG